Long non-coding RNA from Dreissena polymorpha, 811 nucleotides. RefSeq lists it as uncharacterized. The transcript is spliced from 2 exons. The record is from RefSeq and is a predicted model, not a curated record. Lineage: Eukaryota; Metazoa; Mollusca; Bivalvia; Myida; Dreissenidae.
AUGGCCAUGAUGGUCCCUUCACCGACUGUCAACAUGAGGAGCUCGAUGAUAGGGAUUGGUUGAAACCAGGUUUUUUUUAUCAAAGAGGAAGCAAAGCAGCUGUGAAGGUUGAGGAGAUAGUUCUCAGCAAGCGCCUUUGCACAGAUGUGGCUAAACUGUCAACUGGCUACCAGACGUCUACACUGGAAAGUUUCCACGCCACCAUUAAUCACUUUGCCCCAAAGAUGAUGAGCUUUUCAUAUCAUGGGCAAGCCUGUAGGCAGAUUAUCGCAGCACUUCAUUUGAAUGAAAACGUCCACAUAGAAGUGGCAACAAAUACGGACGGGACAGAGAAGCAUGUGGUUGUAUUUCCAAAAUACAAGAGUGGGGAUGAUUUCUCAAUGAAACCAACAAUGGUUGACCAAACGUUUCAUUAUGUGGACAAGCUCAUGAAUAUGGUGUUUGAAAUAUGUGAAUCGAACCAACCGACAGUGAUGGCAACACCUGCUCCACCUCCUUUAACAAAUGGCAAGCGCAGACCGACAGAAGAGGAACUGCAAACAGUUGUGGCAAGGCGGUUUAAGCGUUUAUGCUACUAGUGUGUUAGUGGUGUCAAAAGGCAUUCUUGGUGCACACACACAGCUAUUUUUAAACAUUAUAUUUGUGUCUUAUUCUUUGAAUGUUUGUAGGUGCUAUUAAUUCUCUGAAUGUUUGUAAGUGCAAAGAUUUUCUAUUAGCUCAUUGCCUGAAGUGCUGUUGAGGUACUGUAUAGAAAUAGUAAUUGGUGUUUGUUUCAUUUGCUUGCUUAUUGAUAAAUACUACACACAAAUUA